GGUAAUCUGUUGGAAACAUGACCAUGAAGU
RNAcentral lists this non-coding RNA (30 nucleotides) under Rattus norvegicus (Norway rat). Lineage: Eukaryota; Metazoa; Chordata; Mammalia; Rodentia; Muridae. The record is from RNAcentral.